GGAGGAAAGCAGGGGAUCGCAAGACCUUGCGCUCAUUGAGCGGCCGAUGCCUGAUUAGCUAGUUGGUGAGGUAAAGGCUUACCAAGGCGACGAUCAGUAGCUGGUCUGAGAGGACGACCAGCCACACUGGGACUGAGACACGGCCCAGACUCCUACGGGAGGCAGCAGUGGGGAAUUUUGGACAAUGGGGGAAACCCUGAUCCAGCCAUGCCGCGUGAGUGAAGAAGGCCUUCGGGUUGUAAAGCUCUUUCAGCCGGAACGAAACGGUCACGGCUAAUACCUGUGACUACUGACGGUACCGGAAGAAGAAGCACCGGCUAACUACGUGCCAGCAGCCGCGGUAGGACGUAGGGUGCGAGCGUUCAUCGGAAUUACUGGGCGUAAAGCGUGCGCAGGCGGUUUUGUAAGU
RNAcentral lists this ribosomal RNA (409 nucleotides) under uncultured beta proteobacterium. Its description in RNAcentral is "bacterial SSU rRNA". It matches the Rfam family "Bacterial small subunit ribosomal RNA", at positions 198 to 588 of the family's 1533-position model. Lineage: Bacteria; Pseudomonadati; Pseudomonadota; Betaproteobacteria. The record is from RNAcentral.